This 329-nucleotide ribosomal RNA is filed under the name uncultured eukaryote. Its description in RNAcentral is "partial 18S ribosomal RNA". It matches the Rfam family "Eukaryotic small subunit ribosomal RNA", at positions 1470 to 1796 of the family's 1831-position model. The record is from RNAcentral.
CCCUUAGAUGUUCUGGGCCGCACGCGCGCUACACUGAAGCAUUCAACGAGUUUAUAACCUUGACUGAGAAGUCUGGGUAAUCUUUUGAAAGUGCUUCGUGAUAGGGAUAGAUUAUUGCAAUUUUUAAUCUUGAACGAGGAAUUCCUAGUAAACGCGAGUCAUCAGCUCGCAUUGAUUACGUCCCUGCCCUUUGUACACACCGCCCGUCGCACCUACCGAUUGAAUGAUUCGGUGAAAAUUUCGGACCGAGACCAUGUGCUCUUCACUGAGCGCAAGGUAGCGGGAAGUUAUUUAAACCUCAUCAUUUAGAGGAAGGUGAAGUCGUAACA